UACAGAGGGGGCAAGCGUUAUUCGGAAUUAUUGGGCGUAAAGAGCUCGUAGGCGGUUUGUCGCGUCGGCCGUGAAAUCUCCACGCUUAACGUGGAGCGUGCGGUCGAUACGGGCAGACUUGAGUUCGGUAGGGGGGACUGGAAUUCCUGGUGUAGCGGUGAAAUGCGCAGAUAUCAGGAGGAACACCGGUGGCGAAGGCGGGUCUCUGGGCCGAUACUGACGCUGAGGAGCGAAAGCGUGGGGAGCGAACAGG
Molecule: ribosomal RNA, 253 nt
Filed under: uncultured bacterium
Lineage: Bacteria
Description: partial 16S ribosomal RNA
Rfam family: Bacterial small subunit ribosomal RNA
Source: RNAcentral